GCCGGGGUAGCUCAGUAGGUAGAGCACAGGACUGAAAAUCCUGGUGUCCCCAGUUCAAUUCUGGGCCCCGGCA
RNAcentral lists this transfer RNA (73 nucleotides) under Caldifarciminota bacterium. Its description in RNAcentral is "tRNA-Phe". It matches the Rfam family "tRNA". Rfam says of the family: Transfer RNA (tRNA) molecules are approximately 80 nucleotides in length. Lineage: Bacteria; Pseudomonadati; Caldifarciminota. RNAcentral also lists the same sequence under 1 other name. The record is from RNAcentral.